This 259-nucleotide ribosomal RNA is filed under the name uncultured bacterium. Its description in RNAcentral is "partial 16S ribosomal RNA". It matches the Rfam family "Bacterial small subunit ribosomal RNA", at positions 793 to 1055 of the family's 1533-position model. The record is from RNAcentral.
GUCCACGCCGUAAACGUUGGGCACUAGGUGUGGGGUCUAUCGACGACCUCUGUGCCGAAGCUAACGCAUUAAGUGCCCCGCCUGGGGAGUACGGCCGCAAGGCUAAACUCAAAGGAAUUGACGGGGCCCGCACAAGCGGCGGAGCAUGUGGCUUAAUUCGAUGCAACGCGAAGAACCUUACCUGGGCUUGACAUGUAUGGAAAAGCCGUGGAAACACGGUGUGCUUCGGCGUCAUACACAGGUGGUGCAUGGCUGUCGU